Molecule: ribosomal RNA, 744 nt
Filed under: uncultured bacterium
Lineage: Bacteria
Description: bacterial SSU rRNA
Rfam family: Bacterial small subunit ribosomal RNA
Source: RNAcentral
AACGGGGUGAGGGGCUUGCUUCUCACCUAGUGGCGCACGGGUGAGUAACGCGUGGAUAAUCUACCCGAUACACUGGGAUAACAUCUCGAAAGGGGUGCUAAUACCGGAUAAGCCCACGGAGACUGCGGUCUUUGCGGGAAAAGGUGGGGACCUUCGGGCCUGCCGAUAUCGGAUGAGUCCGCGUCCCAUUAGCUAGUUGGCGGGGUAAAGGCCCACCAAGGCGACGAUGGGUAGCUGGUCUGAGAGGAUGAUCAGCCACACUGGAACUGAGACACGGUCCAGACUCCUACGGGAGGCAGCAGUGGGGAAUUUUGCGCAAUGGGGGAAACCCUGACGCAGCAACGCCGCGUGAGUGAUGAAGGCCCUUGGGUCGUAAAGCUCUGUCAGUGGGAACGAAGUGUCGGCGGCCAAUACCCGACCGAUUUGACGGUACCCACAAAGGAAGCACCGGCUAACUCCGUGCCAGCAGCCGCGGUAAUACGGAGGGUGCAAGCGUUGUUCGGAUUUAUUGGGCGUAAAGGGCGUGUAGGCGGUUUGUUAAGUCUGAUGUGAAAGCCCCGGGCUCAACCUGGGAAGUGCAUUGGAAACUGGCAGACUUGAGUACGGGAGAGGGCAGUGGAAUUCCUAGUGUAGGAGUGAAAUCCGUAGAUAUUAGGAGGAACACCGGUGGCGAAGGCGGCUGCCUGGACCGAUACUGACGCUGAGACGCGAAAGCGUGGGGAGCAAACAGGAUUAGAUACCCUG